GACGAACGCUGGCGGCGUGCCUAAUACAUGCAAGUUGAGCGCUGAAGGUUGGUACUUGUACCAACUGGAUGUGCCGCGAACGGGUGAGUAACGCGUGGGGAAUCUGCCUUUGAGCGGGGGACAUCAUUUGGAAACGAAUGCUAAUACCGCAUAAAAACUUUAAACACAAGUUUUAAGUUUGAAAGAUGCAAUUGCAUCACUCAAAGAUGAUCCCGCGUUGUAUUAGCUAGUUGGUGAGGUAAAGGCUCACCAAGGCGAUGAUACAUAGCCGACCUGAGAGGGUGAUCGGCCACAUUGGAACUGAGACACGGCCCAAACGCCUUAGAGACGCAGCAGACGCGAAUCUUCGGCAAUGGACGAUAGUCUGACCUAUCAGCGCCGCGUGAGAGAAGAAGGUCUUAGGAUCGUAAAACUCUGUUGGUAGUGAAAAACCGUAGUAGUAGACGAAAGCGCAUAAUGUGACGGAAUCGAAAAAGAAACUGACGGCUACCUACGU
This 496-nucleotide ribosomal RNA is filed under the name uncultured bacterium. RNAcentral's name for it is "partial 16S ribosomal RNA". It matches the Rfam family "Bacterial small subunit ribosomal RNA", at positions 28 to 506 of the family's 1533-position model. The record is from RNAcentral.